UACGUAGGGUGCAAGCGUUGUCCGGAAUUAUUGGGCGUAAAGAGCGUGUAGGCGGCCCGAUUAGUCCGCUGUGAAAGUCCAGGGCUCAACCCUGGAAUGCCGGUGGAUACUGUCGGGCUAGAGUCCGGAAGGGGCGAGUGGAAUUCCUGGUGUAGCGGUGAAAUGCGCAGAUAUCAGGAGGAACACCGGUGGCGAAGGCGGGUCUCUGGGCCGAUACUGACGCUGAGGAGCGAAAGCGUGGGGAGCGAACAGG
RNAcentral lists this ribosomal RNA (253 nucleotides) under uncultured bacterium. RNAcentral's name for it is "partial 16S ribosomal RNA". It matches the Rfam family "Bacterial small subunit ribosomal RNA", at positions 524 to 776 of the family's 1533-position model. The record is from RNAcentral.